GACGAACGCUGGCGGCGUGCUUAACACAUGCAAGUCGAGCGGAAAGGCCCUGCUUUUGUGGGGUGCUCGAGUGGCGAACGGGUGAGUAACACGUGAGUAACCUGCCCUUGACUUUGGGAUAACUUCAGGAAACUGGGGCUAAUACCGGAUAGGAGCUCCUGCUGCAUGGUGGGGGUUGGAAAGUUUCGGCGGUUGGGGAUGGACUCGCGGCUUAUCAGCUUGUUGGUGGGGUAGUGGCUUACCAAGGCUUUGACGGGUAGCCGGCCUGAGAGGGUGACCGGCCACAUUGGGACUGAGGUACGGCCCAGACUCCUACGGGAGGCAGCAGUGGAGAAUAUUGCACAAUGGGCGGAAGCCUGAUGCAAAAACGCCGCGUGCGGGAUGACGGCCUUCGGGUUGUAAACCGCUUUCGCCUGUGACGAAGCGUGAGUGACGGUAAUGGGUAAAGAAGCACCGGCUAACUACGUG
This 468-nucleotide ribosomal RNA is filed under the name uncultured bacterium. Its description in RNAcentral is "partial 16S ribosomal RNA". It matches the Rfam family "Bacterial small subunit ribosomal RNA", at positions 28 to 507 of the family's 1533-position model. The record is from RNAcentral.